GAGGAGGUGGCAUGCCGUGUCAUAUUCAUCUGUUUGCCGAAUGGAGAGUAGUGAGAGAUGUUUCCGAAGCUGUUGUCAGAAGAAAGGGACAAGUCAUGAAGUUUCCUACAGGUUACAACAAGGCAAAAAGUGACUACUAUUCAGAAGCAGUUUUUCCAGUACUGCAGAUUUCCAGGAGUUGCUGUUGAUGGGACACAUGUUUACAUCAGGAGCCCUGGUGGGGCAAGAGCCAGGUACUACUUCAAUAGGAAGAACAGGUACUCCAUCGAUGUUCAGGUUGUCUGUGAUUAUGCUGGGAAAAUAAUUAGUACCGUUGCAAGGUGGCCUGGACUAGUAGCAGCCAUGACGCCAGGAUCUUUUGUGCACUGAAUUGACAGCUUGAUGCUAGGGCAUAUGAAUAACAGUUGAUUCUUGGAGAUAGACUAUAGGGUAUCCAUGCCUUCUCUGCCUCAUCAGAAGUCAUUUCUUCAUUCAGAGGGUCGACCACGGAUGUGCUUUAAAGGCCAUCUGUACUAGUUCAG
Strongylocentrotus purpuratus (purple sea urchin) is the source of this 521-nucleotide long non-coding RNA. RefSeq lists it as uncharacterized. The transcript is spliced from 3 exons. NCBI's taxonomy places the organism in Eukaryota, Metazoa, Echinodermata, Echinoidea, Camarodonta, Strongylocentrotidae. The record is from RefSeq and is a predicted model, not a curated record.